Molecule: ribosomal RNA, 214 nt
Filed under: uncultured bacterium
Lineage: Bacteria
Description: partial 16S ribosomal RNA
Rfam family: Bacterial small subunit ribosomal RNA
Source: RNAcentral
CCCAGUUCGGAUUGUAGUCUGCAACCCGACUACAUGAAGCUGGAAUCGCUAGUAAUCGCAGGUCAGCAUACUGCGGUGAAUACGUUCCCGGGUCUUGUACACACCGCCCGUCACACCAUGGGAGCCGGAAAUGCCCGAAGCCAGUGACCCAACCUUAGGGAGGGAGCUGUCGAAGGUGGAGCCGGUAACUGGGGUGAAGUCGUAACAAGGUAAC